UGAAUACGAGACGCUAAGGCGUCGAAGUAGUGUAUGUCAUACUUCCAAGAAACGCUUGCACUGUCAUAGAUAAAAAACGCCUGUACCAUAACCGACACAGGUGGGUAGGUAGAGUAUACUAAGGGGCGCGAGAUAACUCUCUCUAAGGAACUCGGCAAAAUAACUCCGUAACUUCGGGAGAAGGAGUGCCUUAUUCGUAAGGUUGCAAUAACAAGAUCCAAGCAACUGUUUAUCAAAAACACAGGUCUCCGCUAAGUCGUAAGACGAUGUAUGGGGGCUGACGCCUGCCCAGUGCCAGAAGGUUAAAGAAGUUGGUUAGCAAUUGCGAAGCUGAUAACUGAAGCCCUGGUGAACGGCGGCCGUAACUAUAACGGUCCUAAGGUAGCGAAAUUCCUUGUCGGGUAAGUUCCGACCCGCACGAAAGGCGUAAUGAUUUGGAUACUGUCUCGGAGAGGGGCUCGGUGAAAUAGACUUGCCUGUGAAGAUGCGGACUACCUGCACCAGGACAGAAAGACCCUAUGAAGCUUUACUGUAACUUGAAAUUGAAAUUGGACUUUAUUCGCGCAGUAUAGGUGGGAGGCGUUGAUUAUAAUCUUGUGGGAUUAUUGGAGCCAUCAGUGAGAUACCACUCUUGUAAUGUUAGAUUUCUAACUUUGAAUCAUUAUCUGGUCAAAGAACAGUUUCAGGCGGGCAGUUUGACUGGGGCGGUCGCCUCCUAAACGGUAACGGAGGCGUACAAAGGUUUCCUCUGAACGGUUAGAAAUCGUAUCUAGAGUGUAAAGGCAUAAGGAAGCUUGACUGUGAGACCUACAAGUCGAGCAGGGACGAAAGUCGGUCUUAGUGAUCUGACGGUACUGAGUGGAAAGGCCGUCACUCAACGGAUAAAAGUUACUCUAGGAUAACAGGCUGAUCUCCCCCAAGAGUUCACAUCGACGGGGAGGUUUGGCACCUCGAUGUCGGCUCAUCGCAUCCUGGGGCGGUAGUACGUCCCAAGGGUUGGGCUGUUCGCCCAUGAAAGCGGUACGCGAGCUGGGUUCAGAACGUCGUGAGACAGUUCGGUCCAUAUCCGGUGUAGGCGUUAGAAUAUUGAGAGGAGCCUUCUUUAGUACGAGAGGACCGAGAAGGACAUACCUCUGGUGUACCAGUUAUCGUGCCAACGGUAAACGCUGGGUAGCUAUGUAUGGAGUGGAUAACCGCUGAAAGCAUCUAAGUGGGAAGCCCACCUCAAGAUAAGUAUUCUCAUC
This 1244-nucleotide ribosomal RNA is filed under the name metagenome. RNAcentral describes it as "bacterial LSU rRNA". It matches the Rfam family "Bacterial large subunit ribosomal RNA", at positions 1564 to 2818 of the family's 2925-position model. The record is from RNAcentral.